CACGCUGUUAUCCCUAAAGUAACUUUUUCUUAUAAUCCUUAAAAAAGGAUCAAUAUCUCUAAAAAUAAUUAUUUUAAUUCUCAAACAGUUACCUAUUUAUAUUCUUGUCGCCCCAGCAUAAUAAACAAAAACUAAUCCACUCUUAUACCAUAAUUUAAAAAUUAAUUCUUUUAUAUAAAGUUUUAUAGGGUCUUAUCGUCCCCUUAAUAUAUUUGAGCCUUUUCACUCAAAAGUAAAAUUUUACUUUUGCAGAUGAGACAGAUUAUUUUUUGUACGACCAUUCAUUCCAGCCUCCAAUUAAGAG
This 304-nucleotide ribosomal RNA is filed under the name Mirocaris fortunata. RNAcentral describes it as "partial 16S ribosomal RNA". Lineage: Eukaryota; Metazoa; Arthropoda; Malacostraca; Decapoda; Alvinocarididae. The record is from RNAcentral.